CCGUGCUAGAUGGGGAGAUAGCGGUGCCCUGAACCCGCAAUCCGCUAUAGCGGGAUCGAAUUCCUCCCCGAGGCUGACCCUCAGGUCUCUGUGACCGGUUAGGGUGCUGAGAGCUUGGUCCUGCGCGGCGGAACCCCGCGAACCCCGUCAGGUCCGGAAGGAAGCAGCGGUAAGGGGGCUGUUUCGAGCGCCGUAGGUUCACCGAGUUUGAGCCUUACCGGAAAGCAUGCUUUGAGGUAUUUGGUCAAAGGGCGGUGCACGG
RNAcentral lists this signal recognition particle RNA (262 nucleotides) under SAR202 cluster bacterium Io17-Chloro-G3. RNAcentral's name for it is "signal recognition particle sRNA large type". It matches the Rfam family "Bacterial large signal recognition particle RNA". From Rfam's summary of the family: The signal recognition particle (SRP) is a universally conserved ribonucleoprotein involved in the co-translational targeting of proteins to membranes. Archaeal SRP consists of a 7S RNA and homologues of the eukaryotic SRP19 and SRP54 proteins. In most bacteria, the SRP consists of a 4.5S RNA and the Ffh protein (a homologue of the eukaryotic SRP54 protein). Lineage: Bacteria; Bacillati; Chloroflexota; Dehalococcoidia. The record is from RNAcentral.